GAUGAAGAACGCAGCGAAAUGCGAUACGUAAUGUGAAUUGCAGAAUUCAGUGAAUCAUCGAAUCUUUGAACGCAUAUUGCGCUCUCUGGUAUUCCGGAGAGCAUGCUUGUUUGAGUAUCAGUAAACACAUCAACUUCCAUAUCUUUUUUGAAAUGGGAGUUGGACUUGAGUGAUCCCAACGCUUUUCCUCACCGAAAAGUGGCGGGUUACUUGAAAUGCAGGUGCAGCUGGACUUUUCUCUGAGCUAUAAGCAUAUCUAUUUAGUCUGCCUAAAAAACAGAUUAUUACCUGUGCUGCAGCUAACAUAAAGGAGAUUAGUUCUUGUGCUGACUGAUGCAGGAUUCACAAAGACGGCUUCGGCCGACUUUGUAAACUCGAUCUCAAAUCAAGUAAGACUACCCGCUGAACUUAAGCAUAUCAAUAAGCGGAGGA
This 432-nucleotide unclassified non-coding RNA is filed under the name soil metagenome. RNAcentral's name for it is "partial contains 5.8S ribosomal RNA, internal transcribed spacer 2, and large subunit ribosomal RNA". The stretch from base 1 to 120 matches the Rfam family "5.8S ribosomal RNA", at positions 35 to 154 of the family's 154-position model. The record is from RNAcentral.